This is a long non-coding RNA of Oreochromis aureus, 370 nucleotides long. Lineage: Eukaryota; Metazoa; Chordata; Actinopteri; Cichliformes; Cichlidae. The record is from Ensembl.
UAAAGAAAUGUCGGAGGAAACAUUAAAUAAUUCACCUAAGGACAGAGAUAAUACAGAGGAAUUACAUUUUACGCGACAGAUAGCGUUUCUCACUGAGGAGCUGGCCAAGGUUAAAGGUUACCAGAGUCAGCUGGGGAUUCAUGAACAUCAUCAGUGAUGUUUCUCCACAGCGGGCUCAUCAGUACCUGGUGACAGAAGGUCAAUCCAGCUCUGACUUGAGGCUGUUCAAGAAUCAGCUCCACUUGAUCUGGUUCCACCUCUACCACAGGCAGAGAAACACAGGGUGAGAUCUUCUCCUGCCAGUCAUCACGCUAUAACUGUUUCUAGAAUCGAUUCAAUUCAGAUUCACGAGGUCCCGAAUCGAUCGAUU